Molecule: ribosomal RNA, 484 nt
Filed under: uncultured bacterium
Lineage: Bacteria
Description: partial 16S ribosomal RNA
Rfam family: Bacterial small subunit ribosomal RNA
Source: RNAcentral
AUUGAACGCUGGCGGCAGGCCUAACACAUGCAAGUCGAGCGGAUGAAGGGAGCUUGCUCCUGGAUUCAGCGGCGGACGGGUGAGUAAUGCCUAGGAAUCUGCCUGGCAGUGGGGGAUAACGUCUGGAAACGGGCGCUAAUACCGCAUACGUCCUGAGGGAGAAAGUGGGGGAUCUUCGGACCUCACGCUAUCAGAUGAGCCUAGGUCGGAUUAGCUAGUUGGUGGGGUAAAGGCCUACCAAGGCGACGAUCCGUAACUGGUCUGAGAGGAUGAUCAGUCACACUGGAACUGAGACACGGUCCAGACUCCUACGGGAGGCAGCAGUCGGGAAUAUUAGACAAUAGGCGAAAGCCUGAUACAGCGAUGCCGCGUGUGUGAAGAAGGUCUUCGGAUUGUAAAGCACUUUAAGUUGGGAGGAAGGGCAGUAAGUUAAUACCUUGCUGUUUUGACGUUACCAACAGAAUAAGCACCGGCUAACUUCGUG